CACCUCGCAUCACUCACGCGCGGGCUGCUGGGUGGCGCACGUGCGGGAUGAAGCAGAGCCUGUGGCAUCGGCCGCACAAAGAGUUGUCCCGGCUUGACUGCAGCCACUGUUAUGCUCCGCUAGGCGGCGGCUUAGUCGUCCUCGUCAUCUUUUGUCCAUCUCACAACGCUUCAUUGACGGAGGCAAAACAAGACAGGGAAAACAGAAAAAGUUGCACCGACUUAACUGUGGGAAUUUUUUUAAUGAUGAAAGGAUUUUAGCAAACACGUUGCAGAGUUAACAGGGUAGUUUGACCUCAGCAGCGACAUCUGGCGAACUGUGUAUCAGAAAGACUUUUGUGUUACCUGCGCUGGAUGUUACCAUUCCUACAUCUCAUCGCUGCUAUAGGUAUGAAGCCUUAUUUUGCAAGCUUUAUUCAAAGCUGGAAAACAACAACAAAAUAACACAAGUGGCUUUGGAAGAAACAAGGAUAUGAGCAGCUUCCGUCGUCGUGCGAAUGUUUUACACUACAUCAAUUGCCUUUCAUGAGCUGGACCGGCCUGGAGUUUUGCUAAUUUCUUCCGUUCAGUUAUAGAGUGCUGUGCUCGACGAACGACUUGCCUCAAAGAAAUAAGGAAA
Long non-coding RNA from Pomacea canaliculata, 618 nucleotides. RefSeq lists it as uncharacterized. Lineage: Eukaryota; Metazoa; Mollusca; Gastropoda; Architaenioglossa; Ampullariidae. The record is from RefSeq and is a predicted model, not a curated record. The transcript has 2 exons.